This 152-nucleotide non-coding RNA is filed under the name Paenibacillus dendritiformis. Its description in RNAcentral is "SAM-I sequence". It matches the Rfam family "SAM riboswitch aptamer (S box leader)". Rfam says of the family: The SAM riboswitch is found upstream of a number of genes which code for proteins involved in methionine or cysteine biosynthesis in Gram-positive bacteria. The SAM riboswitch acts at the level of transcription termination control. The predicted structure consists of a complex stem-loop region followed by a single stem loop terminator region. The record is from RNAcentral. Lineage: Bacteria; Bacillati; Bacillota; Bacilli; Caryophanales; Paenibacillaceae. RNAcentral also lists the same sequence under 1 other name.
AUCUUAUCAAGAGCAGGUGGAGGGACAAGCCCGAUGAAACCCGGCAACCGGCAGAUGUGCAGAGCCGUUCUUGCAUUCAAGGACGUAUCUGCAGCGCGCACGGUGCUAAUUCUUGCGGUAGCGGUCAGAAGACUGCUGCUGACAGAUGAGAG